Long non-coding RNA from Alligator mississippiensis (American alligator), 937 nucleotides. RefSeq lists it as uncharacterized. The record is from RefSeq and is a predicted model, not a curated record. NCBI's taxonomy places the organism in Eukaryota, Metazoa, Chordata, Crocodylia, Alligatoridae. The transcript is spliced from 3 exons.
UGUUGUGUACCGUGUGUGUUGCGCUGCGAGAGGAAAAAGUCCCCGCCCCACCGCAGCGGAGGCGGACAGCACCUUGUCCGCCGCCUUCAGCCCCGGGGAGGGGCUGUGAGGGAAGUAGAGGCUGGGCAGGCCCGGGAGAGCUCCUCCCGGGGGCCCCCUGCAGCCUGGCUUCAUUUGGGGCAAGCCUCUGGCCUCCAGCCCCAGCCUUUUCUCAGCCCCUAUGCUUGUAGCACCCGCCCCUAGCCGUGGGAGGGAGCUCCUCUUCCCUCGGGUCCCACGCAGGAGAGAGGGUGUUAAAAGAGGGAUAGCAGAGUAGCCAUGUCCCAAGCAGCAGUGCAGACACUGCUUCAAAACAGCCUUUGCUGUGCCCUUCCAGGUCCCUCUGUUCUCACUUGGGCCCUGCGCACUUCACCAUCGCGCUCACCUGCGUUGGGGCCGCGAACAGGGCCUGUUGCCCCUGCCCCUGCCCCACAGGCGCACGCAGAGGCAAGGAUCGCCCGGGUGGUGUGGACUGGAGAAGGAACUGAGAAAGGAAGGAUCCCAGAAAAGCAGACAAAGAGCAACCAGGAUGUGACAUUGCUGCAGGGAAAAAUGCUCAGCGGAUCUAACUAGUCACUUCAUAAUUCUUCAGCUAAGGAGCAGAGGAUCAUCCACAUCUGCAGGUUCUUUACACCUUAAAUAAUGAUGUUUGGAGACUACAAAUAUAGCCUCUGGGGACCUGAAACCUAUGAGGUGACCCGUAUUGUCUUCGACUCAUUUUUUCCAAGAUAACUAGCAUUCCCUGUAAAUCUAAUACAAAUCUAAAACAACCUACAAAUGGACUUAAGCAACACACACUAAAAAAAAAUAAAUUAUUUGGGACCUGGAAAAUCUCACAACAGAAAAAAGGAAUCUUGUAUGCUUCCCCCAAAAUAAUUAUAUAUCAAAUAAAAGUUAA